CCUACGGGUGGCAGCAGUGAGGAAUAUUGGUCAAUGGACGCGAGUCUGAACCAGCCAAGUAGCGUGAAGGAUGACUGCCCUAUGGGUUGUAAACCUCUUUUGUCGGGGAGCAAAAGCCGGACGUGUCCGGCUGUGAGAGUACCCGAAGACAAAGCAUCGGCUAACUCCGUGCCAGCAGCCGCGGUACUACGGAGGAUGCGAGCGUUAUCGGGAUUUAUUGGGUUUAAAGGGUGCGCAGGCGGAUUUUGAAGUCAGCGGUCAAAUCGCGGGGCUCAACCCCAUCCAGCCGUUGAAACUGGGGAUCUAGAGUGUGCGAGAGGUAUGCGGAAUGCGUGGUGUAGCGGUGAAAUGCAUAGAUAUCACGCAGAACCCCGAUUGCGAAGGCAGCAUACCGGUGAACAACUGACGCUCAGGCACGAAAGCGUGGGUAUCGAACAGGAUUAGAUACCCUAGUAGUC
Molecule: ribosomal RNA, 458 nt
Filed under: uncultured bacterium
Lineage: Bacteria
Description: partial 16S ribosomal RNA
Rfam family: Bacterial small subunit ribosomal RNA
Source: RNAcentral